GGCGCUAUAGUGUAGUGGUUAUCACUCAGGAUUCUGAUCAAUCUUCCUGAAACCCAGGUUCGAACCCUGGUAGCGCCU
Molecule: transfer RNA, 78 nt
Filed under: Macrolepiota fuliginosa MF-IS2
Lineage: Eukaryota; Fungi; Basidiomycota; Agaricomycetes; Agaricales; Agaricaceae
Rfam family: tRNA
About the family: Transfer RNA (tRNA) molecules are approximately 80 nucleotides in length. Their secondary structure includes four short double-helical elements and three loops (D, anti-codon, and T loops).
Source: Rfam by way of RNAcentral